RNAcentral lists this ribosomal RNA (486 nucleotides) under uncultured bacterium. RNAcentral describes it as "bacterial SSU rRNA". It matches the Rfam family "Bacterial small subunit ribosomal RNA", at positions 30 to 509 of the family's 1533-position model. The record is from RNAcentral.
AUUGAACGCUGGCGGAAUGCUUUACACAUGCAAGUCGAACGGCAGCACGGGGGCAACCCUGGUGGCGAGUGGCGAACGGGUGAGUAAUACAUCGGAACGUGCCCAGUCGUGGGGGAUAACGUAGCGAAAGUUACGCUAAUACCGCAUACGAUCUACGGAUGAAAGCGGGGGACCGUAAGGCCUCGCGCGAUUGGAGCGGCCGAUGUCAGAUUAGGUAGUUGGUGAGGUAAAGGCUCACCAAGCCGACGAUCUGUAGCUGGUCUGAGAGGACGACCAGCCACACUGGGACUGAGACACGGCCCAGACUCCUACGGGAGGCAGCAGUGGGGAAUUUUGGACAAUGGGCGCAAGCCUGAUCCAGCAAUGCCGCGUGCAGGAUGAAGGCCUUCGGGUUGUAAACUGCUUUUGUACGGAGCGAAAAGGCUCUCUCUAAUACAGGGGGCUCAUGACGGUACCGUAAGAAUAAGCACCGGCUAACUACGUGCA